AUGGACCCUGACAAGAGUGGUGAUUUUGAUAGUUAAUUAUGAACUAAUAAUUUGGACUAACAACGUGUGCUAGUAUAUAAGGUACAUUAGUCCAUAGGUUAUAAAGAUGGACUUGAGCUAGACUAACGUGAAGAUCUCAAACAAUCAUUAUUUAGGAACCCAGUAUAGGUGCUCACACAAUUUCUGCUAGUUAAAGUGCCG
Molecule: long non-coding RNA, 201 nt
Filed under: Sorghum bicolor (sorghum)
Lineage: Eukaryota; Viridiplantae; Streptophyta; Magnoliopsida; Poales; Poaceae
Description: long non-coding RNA (SBIC_LNC013259)
Source: RNAcentral